Molecule: ribosomal RNA, 492 nt
Filed under: gamma proteobacterium I-08
Lineage: Bacteria; Pseudomonadati; Pseudomonadota; Gammaproteobacteria
Description: bacterial SSU rRNA
Rfam family: Bacterial small subunit ribosomal RNA
Source: RNAcentral
CAGCCCUGCCGCGUGUGUGAAGAAGGCCUUCGGGUUGUAAAGCACUUUCAGCGAGGAAGAACGCCUAGUGGUUAAUACCCAUUAGGAAAGACAUCACUCGCAGAAGAAGCACCGGCUAACUCCGUGCCAGCAGCCGCGGUAAUACGGAGGGUGCGAGCGUUAAUCGGAAUUACUGGGCGUAAAGCGCGCGUAGGUGGCUUGAUAAGCCGGUUGUGAAAGCCCCGGGCUCAACCUGGGAACGGCAUCCGGAACUGUCAAGCUAGAGUGCAGGAGAGGAAGGUAGAAUUCCCGGUGUAGCGGUGAAAUGCGUAGAGAUCGGGAGGAAUACCAGUGGCGAAGGCGGCCUUCUGGACUGACACUGACACUGAGGUGCGAAAGCGUGGGUAGCAAACAGGAUUAGAUACCCUGGUAGUCCACGCCGUAAACGAUGUCGACCAGCCGUUGGGUGCCUAGCGCACUUUGUGGCGAAGUUAACGCGAUAAGUCGACCGCC